CGUGGGCCACCCCUCCCCACCGAGGGGCUUACUAUCUGGAAGGAUAGAC
This 49-nucleotide non-coding RNA is filed under the name uncultured Mesorhizobium sp. RNAcentral's name for it is "serC leader". It matches the Rfam family "serC leader". From Rfam's summary of the family: This family is a putative regulatory RNA structure that is found upstream of the serC-serA operon in some alpha-proteobacteria. The record is from RNAcentral. Lineage: Bacteria; Pseudomonadati; Pseudomonadota; Alphaproteobacteria; Hyphomicrobiales; Phyllobacteriaceae.